UUUUUUGGAAGCUGGGCAAGCCCUUUCAAUGAAAGUGAUUUUCGCCAGUCUGGACAUGGAAAAAUACACGUAAAUACAUGGUGUUUCCACAUAAAACUUCCCUGGGUGUUUCGAAAAUUUCUGUUAUAAUGGAGUGGAUAUCAUUGAUUUGUCCAAGAAACACAAACCAGAGAUACUCAUCAUGAGAGAGCUGAGCAAUUUACCAGCACCAUCAUCAAGCAAACUGCAAAUCUAUCCUUGUCACAGAGCGAGAGGAUACUUAAGAUCAACCCAAGAACAUCUUUAAGUAUUCACAGGAUACUGAGCUUGCUGUGCACUGCUGCAGCCCCCUGCAUAGGGUGUGUUUUUCAUCCUUAAAAAGCUUCUGUACACAGAGGUGGCUAUUGUACCCUGAACAGUGUCUUGCUAAGGGGCAAUCACCACCUGGCUAAUAA
This 434-nucleotide long non-coding RNA is filed under the name Ictidomys tridecemlineatus (thirteen-lined ground squirrel). RNAcentral's name for it is "lncRNA (ENSSTOG00000034492.1)". Lineage: Eukaryota; Metazoa; Chordata; Mammalia; Rodentia; Sciuridae. The record is from RNAcentral.